UGUUAUAAGGAAUUUGACCUUCAAAUCUAUCCUUAAGUUUUGUUCGAACUUUGUCCGCAAAUAAUGGGGGGAGACCGCUAAUGAAUCUUUCUUUCCAGAAGUCAUUAUUGCAGUCAGGGCGGAUCAUAACUUUGAUCAGGAAGGUAUCCUUAUACCAUCUGAAGUCUGCAAGAUUUUUGCAGCGAAGGUUGUUAAGGAUUUCUAGACUUCGGUCUUGGAAGAGUUUUGGUUCUCCUACAAAAUGUCUAGCUAUGUGAUAGAGGAGAGUUGCACAAGCAUCUUCUUGUGCUUCUUGAACUAUGGUUUCUCGACCAUCUACGGUACGAGCCACCUGUUCAAU
RNAcentral lists this long non-coding RNA (340 nucleotides) under Capsicum annuum. RNAcentral's name for it is "long non-coding RNA (CANN_LNC014291)". Lineage: Eukaryota; Viridiplantae; Streptophyta; Magnoliopsida; Solanales; Solanaceae. The record is from RNAcentral.